CCUACGGGUGGCAGCAGUGAGGAAUAUUGGUCAAUGGACGAGAGUCUGAACCAGCCAAGUAGCGUGAAGGAUGACUGCCCUAUGGGUUGUAAACUUCUUUUAUAUGGGAAUAAAAUGUUCCACGUGUGGGAUUUUGUAUGUACCCUAUGAAUAAAGAUCGGCUCAUUCCGUGCCAGCAUCCGCGGUAAUACAGAGGAUCCGAGGUUGAUCCGGAUUUAUUGGGUUUACAGGGAGCGUAGGUGGACUGUUAAGUCAGUUGUGAAAGUUUGCGGCUCAACCGUAAAAUUGCAGUUGAAACUGGCAGUCUUGAGUACAGUAGAGGUUGGCGGAAUUCGUGGUGUAGCGGUGAAAUGCUUAGAUAUCACGAAGAACUCCGAUCGCGAAGGCAGCUCACUGGACUGCAACUGACACUGAGGCUCGAAAGUGUGGGUAUCAAACAGGAUUAGAUACCCCAGUAGUC
RNAcentral lists this ribosomal RNA (460 nucleotides) under uncultured bacterium. Its description in RNAcentral is "partial 16S ribosomal RNA". It matches the Rfam family "Bacterial small subunit ribosomal RNA", at positions 338 to 795 of the family's 1533-position model. The record is from RNAcentral.